Molecule: small nuclear RNA, 168 nt
Filed under: Pelodiscus sinensis (Chinese soft-shelled turtle)
Lineage: Eukaryota; Metazoa; Chordata; Testudines; Trionychidae
Description: U1 spliceosomal RNA (ENSPSIG00000019387.1)
Source: RNAcentral
UUUUUUACCUGGAAGAGGAAAUGCCAUGAAUACUGAAAUGGUUUUCCAAGGGUAAGGCUUAUCCAUUCUAUCACAAGUACACUGACCUUCUCAAUUUCUUGAAAUGUUGGAAAAACCACUGUAUGAUUUGUGGUUGGGUCACAGGACUGCAUUUCAAGCUCCCCUGGC